RNAcentral lists this long non-coding RNA (3211 nucleotides) under Pan troglodytes (chimpanzee). Its description in RNAcentral is "lncRNA (ENSPTRG00000053233.1)". Lineage: Eukaryota; Metazoa; Chordata; Mammalia; Primates; Hominidae. The record is from RNAcentral.
CAGCAGGAAGGUUUGUGCUGGAAAAUUUACAGGGUACACAAGGACUGGGGGGCCUAGAUGCUGUCUAGGUGGGCCUGGACACCUAGAAGGUGACCCCAGGACUGACCAUGGGUACAGAGUCAACUAACUGUUGCACUCCACCUCUGGAUAAGAGAAGAUCACCACUGCUUCACUCCUCUGGUUGGGGUGGUGAACUCCCAGCUGCAAGACUCUGACUAAGGGGUGCUUCGUGAGGAAGCUCCUUGGAAGUCCUGCCUCUCUCUAGGUCCUGGACAGCAUGUGGGUGACCAGGGAUUGACCACACUGAGUGUGAUAUGGAUCAGAAGGAUAGAAAAGGCAGCAACGACAAGUGAUUGUCUCUUCCUAAGUUUUCCUGUCUUUUGUUGCCCUUUUAUCUGCAGAGCAUGGUCUAAUAAACAGAGAAGGCUCAGGAGGGUCAGAAACACGGUGUUCUCUGAGUCUGCCUCAUUUCUCAGCCUACUUGCCAAGAAUUCCCAAAAAGGAAGCAUUGGAGGAUCAUUCCAAGGCUUGAGGUCCAGGACUACCCACUUCCCUUGGAAUGGUGUUGCCAUCACUGUUCUGGCACUGGAGAAAGGAUUCUACAUCGUUGGGAGAAAAGAAAAAGGAGAAUUUGGGCUUGCACUGAGAGGAUUACCUUUGGUGGUCUGGAAGUGGUGGUAAGUCCUGGACAAUUCUCACAUUAAUCGUUUUUGCCUGUUUAAAAUGGGAAAAAUAAUGCCUACUCUAUAGGACUGCUAGGAGGCUUAAGUAAGUAUGUGUGCUUGUAAACUCUCCACAGAUGCAUGCUGUCAUUAUGAUCUUUGCUGCACAAGCAUUAUUUAACGUCCUAAGUGUGAUUUUUUAAAUUUCACUCUCACAAAAGAUAGGUUUCCUCUUCAUAAUAAACAUGCGUCUACUUCCCUUUUUGAACGUAAGAUCCCAAACAAAAAGGAAAUUGAUGUCCUUAUAAAAAGGAGCCAAUGCAAGAAGCAUCUAGAAGUAACUUUAGAUGCAGUGUCAAGAAGUUUAUUAGUGACAGUCAUGUACAUAGCACAGUGUAGAGUAAUGCAAAUCUGUGCUUAUACCACCCAUUUAAAAUAAUUUUAGUUAGCACAUGAAUUUGUUGCAUAUAAACAGCACCUUUGACAAGUUAUUUAUUUAAAAGGGUCAGAUUCAGGCAUUGUUUCUAAAGUAGAACUUCAAUGAUAAAAUCUGAAAAUGUUAUUCUUUCAAUUAAAAAAAGUGAGUAGGUGUGUGUGUGUGUGCGUUUAUCACUGGUUUCAUGAGUAUUGCUGAUUCUCAUAAUAGACAGAUUAGAAAAUCUGACCAACUCUGUAUUAAUUAUCUAUUGUUGCACAACAGAUUACUCUAAUACUUAGUUAAAACAACAGACCUUUGUUAGUGUGUGGUUUUUGUGGGUCAGGUACAUAAAAGAGGUUCAGCUGAGUGGUUCUUGUUUGGAAUCUCUUAUGAGUUUUCAGCCAUGCUAUUAACAGGGGUUUUGAUCAUCUGAAGGUUUAACUGGGGCUGAAGAGCCUGCCCCCAAGAUGAGUCACUCUUGUUUAGUGGUUAGCAGGAAACCCCAGCUCCAUGCUGGCUAUUGGCAGGAGGCCUCGGUGUUUCACAAUGUGUACCUCUCCAUAGGAUUGCUUGAGUAUCUUCGCAACAUGGCAACCGGCGUCUCCCACAGGGACUGAUCUAAGAAAGAAUAAGGAAGAAGCCUCAAUGCCUUUUAUGUCUUAAUCAUGAGGUCAAAUACCAUCCCUUCUUCUAUAUUCUGUUUGCUAGAAGCAAGUUACUAAGUACAGCCCAUACUUAAAGGAAGAAGAAUUAGACUCUACUUUUUGAAAGGAGGAGUAUCAAAUAAUUUUUUAACAUGUUGCAAAACCAACAUAAGUUCUUUGGUAUAAAUUGCACUUUUCUAUUGUUGGUAUUCAGAACAAAACAUUUUUCACAAUUGCAAUAGCUACCUAUAUUAUUGGAUUCUCAGAAUACAGAACAUAAAUCUCUUUAUUGGUUAUGAAGAAAAUGAAUUCAGAGGCAUAAGGAGCUUUCUCCAGGUACAGAGAAGUUCAGUGUCCAACUCUAGACUUAGAUCUAGAAUUCUGAUAUAUAAUUUCAUAUGCAGUCAGAUUACAUCUAAAUAAUAAUAGCAAAAACAGGGCUCUUCUACUGUACUGUAAUUUACUUUUCCAACUUUUGGCUACUUACAAGAUCACAAACAUCUGGAUUUAAAUUGGAAACAUCUCAAAAAUCCAGAUGUUUCCAAAUAUAGGUGUUUUUUUUUUUAAGCCAUCAAAAACCCCUUGGUGAAUGAGUAACUAUGCAUGUUGAAUGGUUAUCCCAUUAAAAAUCUAACUCCCUUUCCCAAUUUAUGUUAUUCUAGGUGGAAAGUUUCUAAUGUAAUCCAGUGUUAAAUUAGGAGUUUGGACUGACUGAGGCAACAAGAUAUAAGAGAUGUCAGAUAGCAAAGUGAGGUGAGAGACAGGACAUCAAGUUGGAAAUUUUGAAAGAAACUCUCCUGAAACCGCACAGCUUCUGUGCCUCUCCUCUAACAUUCCUCACCUAGGCUGAGGUUAAGAAGGGGGAUGUUAGAGUGAGGCAUUUGAAUGUUAGAAAAGCAAUCCCCCCACCGCAAAUAAGGGAACAGCCUCCACACCAGACUGCUUAGAGUUGAUAAAAGACCUCUGUAGGCCAAAGGCGCAAGGAACUCGUACCUGGCUCAUGACUUAUAAGACUUUACCUAUGAGAAUUAGAAAGCUCAUGAAGAGUUCUUGAAUUUUCACUAAGAGGCAGUGAAAUCAUUACUUCCACAGAACAGGUUUAAAGGGAUAGCAGAAAAUGAAAAUAAAGAUACUUUUAUAACUAUCCCUCAUGCAGCCUCUAUGUUUAACACAUGGAUCCACUAAAAUAUAUCACAGACAUUUUCUGCCUUUUAAACAAAGUAUGGUGAGUUAUUAAAAAAAGGUUAAGUUAUUUUCAAUGUUAUCAUGACUAAUGCAAUAAUUAAAAAAACCUUGGAUUUGAAUACUACAUUUUCAAAGUAACUCAAUACAAUGAUGUCCCCAAGGCUUAUGGAGAUCUAUGGGGUUAUUUACCCCAGACUCAUAAUUCUUACAUGUGUGUUUCCAAUUUUCCUGACACGUCAUUUGGUUUCUAUAUUUUCCAUUGUCACUUUCACUAAUUUCUUCAUGCUUCUGUAUAUUAUCUC